CCUGUCCUUCCUUGGGAGGAGAAACUGAACUGACUCUGGGGCAGCAGCAAUCCAUGAAGUUCCCCAGGCUCCUCCAUCCACCUUGGCCACGCUUUGGCUUCGUGUCCAGAGAACCACCACCAGAAACAUCAGCCUUUCUUCAGGGCUUCAGAGCUGCUGGACACAAGCCACAGGAAGCAGAGCCUGGAUAGGAAGGAUGCUCCAAAUCUCUGUAGUGCUGAAGGCUGUGCUUCCCUUUGAAGCUGGACUGGUUUUCCAGCCUUUCCCAGCUUGCUGUUCAUCUGUCUGGCAUCUCUUCUCCCCCAAAUGCACUUCAGGAAUUUCUCUGAUCCCUUCCUUAGCCAGAGGGAAGAGCAGAACAUGUCAUCCCACAUGUCACCCCUCCUCCUCUCAAAACUCAAUCAAGGAAAUGCUCUGUCUUGGGUUGAAAUACAGGAUGUGGCCAGAAAUGUGAAUUCUGUCCCCACCUGGGUGGGGCAGUGCCCCUGAUCUCCUGGCACACAUUAUCUGCUCAUGGGCCAUCUUUAAACCAGCUGGGCAAUCAUCUUUAUCUUCCCACAGCCCAUCCUCCCUCCAGGAGAUAUCUCCUGUUCAUGGCCACUGAGUCCCAGGGCAUGACUGAUAAAAUUCCAUCAUCCCACUGGGAGAUGCUCCAGCCAGGGGAGGAGCCAAGCCUUUCCUAGCCAGAUCAAAACUGACAUUUGGAACAGCAGAGCAGCCUUUGCCACUGGAUUCCAGAGGAAAGCCAGACCUUUCCACAUCAUCCCUGCACCUUCAGAGGAAACUGCACCUUCUC
Long non-coding RNA from Oenanthe melanoleuca, 796 nucleotides. RefSeq lists it as uncharacterized. The transcript is spliced from 3 exons. Lineage: Eukaryota; Metazoa; Chordata; Aves; Passeriformes; Muscicapidae. The record is from RefSeq and is a predicted model, not a curated record.